RNAcentral lists this unclassified non-coding RNA (339 nucleotides) under soil metagenome. RNAcentral describes it as "partial contains 5.8S ribosomal RNA, internal transcribed spacer 2, and large subunit ribosomal RNA". The stretch from base 1 to 120 matches the Rfam family "5.8S ribosomal RNA", at positions 35 to 154 of the family's 154-position model. The record is from RNAcentral.
GAUGAAGAACGUAGCGAAACGCGAUAGUUAAUGUGAAUUGCAGAAUUCAGUGAAUCAUCGAAUCUUUGAACGCACAUUGCACCUCUCGGUAUUCCGGGAGGUAUGCCUGUUCGAGCGUCAUUUGUACCCUCAAGCUCUGCUUGGUGUUGGGUGUUUGUUCCGCCUCUGUGUGUGAACUCGCCUCAAAACAAUUGGCAGCCGGCGUACUUGUUUCGGAGCGCAGCACAUUUUGCGAUCCAGAUCAACGUACAGCGGCAUCCAAGAAGCCUUAUUUAACGCUCUUGACCUCGGAUCAGGUAGGGAUACCCGCUGAACUUAAGCAUAUCAAUAAGCGGAGGA